AUAUUUAUGAAUACCGACUAGCAUAAACUAACUUAUUGCCUAAGCACAAAGCAGGUUCAAAAACAUCACAUUCAUAUUAGGUGUACUUCGUCUACUUGAGCCUACGUUUAUUUAUUAUAAUUUUGUACCAAUUUUCACUUAGAUAAGACUAAAACUACCAUAAUUUUAUCUUUGAUAGAUUAACUAUAACAAUUUUAACAUGUCUAGCUAUUAUGCUUAUCAACUCAUAAAAUAUUUUGUAUGCAACAUCAAAAUAAUUUAAUAUUUUAUGUUCGCAAGUUUAAUAUUGAUAUUUAAUGUGUUUUUAAGAGCAUUCUAAAAGAGAUAUAUAGAGAAAUUGAUGUUUUUCUAGCUCAAAAAUGUAAACUUGAAUCGUGAAAUGUGAAGAAAAUCAUACAUUGACAGCCUAUCAUUUGCAUUUGAGCAUGUUCCUACUGCUGGCAGCAAAUAAUAGGAUAAUAAUAUAUAUAUUUUAAAAUAUUGAAUGCUGGGAUUAUAAUAUUAAUCAUACUUUUAUUAUUACAGAUUGAAUCCACAAAAUAAUUGAAGAAAUGGUUUCAGAUGAUUACGAACAAGCGCAGCUAUCUUUGGAGAGGUAAUGCACCUACUGAUAUCCCGUGAUAAGAACUUGGGAGAGAUUUAGUGAAAACCUGGAGAACGGCCACUUAGCUCACAAAUCUGAGCUGUUCACAUCAAGCUGAUAUUUGUGACAGCCAUUAUAGCUUUAAUCAUUUUCUCGAUUGAUCAAAGCACCACAGACUGCAUCGUUCGUCACCUCUGCCUUUAAGCGCGUUAUCACCUACUCCAAUAAGCCACCCCAAUAUCCUUAAUAAGCAAUAGAAGUUCUUAUCGACUGUGUAUGACUCAUUAAUAUCCAUGUUCUGUAUAAAUUUAUGUGAUAGGCCUACUGGUAUUAAUGUUGAUGUACCGUAAUGUUUUUUGCUCAUGUAUAAUUGAUAAUAAUACAUUAAAAAUAAAUAUAAUGUUAAAUUAUUA
Molecule: long non-coding RNA, 996 nt
Organism: Nilaparvata lugens (brown planthopper)
Lineage: Eukaryota; Metazoa; Arthropoda; Insecta; Hemiptera; Delphacidae
Exons: 2
Source: RefSeq, a predicted model, not a curated record